GUCUACAGCCUUAUCCCUCUAAACACAUCCAAUCUCAUCUGAUCUCUUAAACUACAAACGGUCAGGCCUGGCUUAGUAGCUGGAUAGGAGACUACCUGCGGCAUCUGGGUGCUGUGGAUU
Erinaceus europaeus (western European hedgehog) is the source of this 120-nucleotide ribosomal RNA. The record is from Ensembl. NCBI's taxonomy places the organism in Eukaryota, Metazoa, Chordata, Mammalia, Eulipotyphla, Erinaceidae.